AGCAUCCUACGGGGGGCAGCAGUAGGGAAUCUUCCACAAUGGGCGAAAGCCUGAUGGAGCAACGCCGCGUGGGUGAAGAAGGUCUUCGGAUCGUAAAACCCUGUUGUUAGAGAAGAAAGUGCGUGAGAGUAACUGUUCACGUCUCGACGGUAUCUAACCAGAAAGCCACGGCUAACUACGUGCCAGCAGCCGCGGUAAUACGUAGGUGGCAAGCGUUAUCCGGAAUGAUUGGGCGUAAAGGGUGCGCAGGCGGCACCAUAAGUCUGCAGUAACAGCCAUCGGCUCAACCGAUGUAAGCUUUGGAA
Molecule: ribosomal RNA, 305 nt
Filed under: uncultured bacterium
Lineage: Bacteria
Description: bacterial SSU rRNA
Rfam family: Bacterial small subunit ribosomal RNA
Source: RNAcentral